AGAGCAAACUGUAGCCAAGAACAACUUGCCGAUAUAUCAGAUCGUUUAAAUUAAUAUAGCUAGCAAGAUCAUCGAUCGGCAAGUCAUCCUUGGCUGCAAACCGCUCUCU
This is a non-coding RNA of Erythranthe guttata (spotted monkey flower), 109 nucleotides long. Lineage: Eukaryota; Viridiplantae; Streptophyta; Magnoliopsida; Lamiales; Phrymaceae. The record is from Rfam.